GAUGAACGCUGACAGAAUGCUUAACACAUGCAAGUCGAUGGGGAAGUGGUGCUUGCACCCUGGUAACCAUGGCGGACGGGUGAGUAACGCGUAAGGAACUUACCUGCGGGACCGGGAUAACAGCAGGAAACUGCUGACAAGACCGGAUAAGGUCAUUAAGCUGCAUAGCUUAGUGAUGAAAGGAGACGCCUGCGGAGAGCCUUGCGUCCUAUUAGCUAGUUGGAGGGGUAACGGCCCACCAAGGCGAAGAUAGGUAGCCGGCCUGAGAGGGUGGACGGCCACAAGGGGACUGAGAUACGGCCCUUACUCCUACGGGAGGCAGCAGUGGGGAAUAUUGGACAAUGGGGGCAACACUGAUCCAGCAAUUCUGUGUGCACGAAGACGGUUUUCGGAUUGUAAAGUGCUUUCAGCAGGGAAGAAGGAAGUGACGGUACCUGCAGAAGAAGCGACGGCUAAAUACGUG
Molecule: ribosomal RNA, 463 nt
Filed under: uncultured bacterium
Lineage: Bacteria
Description: partial 16S ribosomal RNA
Rfam family: Bacterial small subunit ribosomal RNA
Source: RNAcentral